RNA transcript from Hevea brasiliensis (rubber tree), 2678 nucleotides. RefSeq lists it as uncharacterized. The record is from RefSeq and is a predicted model, not a curated record. Lineage: Eukaryota; Viridiplantae; Streptophyta; Magnoliopsida; Malpighiales; Euphorbiaceae. The transcript is spliced from 5 exons.
CCCACUCUCCUCUGUCAGAAUCAAACAAAUCAAAAGGAAGCAGCUCCAUCCUCAUUUUCUGUCAACUCCACCUCUACUCACUUUCCUCUCUCUCUCUCUCUCUCUCUCUCUCUCCUCUAGCGUUUCCGCUCUGCAGCAGGAGACGAAGAAAGCGGCUGUUUGUACUUUGUAAUCUCGUUUCAUACAACACAAAAAGAAAGUUUCUUUCUUUUGGCGUUUUCGCUGGAGAAUUUUAGUGCCAUUCCCUCUUCUUCUUCUUCUUCUUCUUCUUCUCUCUAGCCUUUACGGAAACCUAAUCUUCCUAGUGCUUAAAGUAUUUAUGCGAUUCACCAUUCAAUGAAGAAUUGACUUGGUGGUGUGUGAAUUCUAUCAAGUUGAAUAUCUGAGGCUCUGAGCAUGGACAAAGUAUCAUCAGACUGUCCAUACCCAGGAUGCUUUUUCUGCGUCAUGAAGGAAGGAAAUCCAAGCAAGCGCAGAGCAAGUAUAUUGAAAUUUUUCAGGGAACUUCCUUCACAGGAUGAUGAUGGCCAGGUUCUCCCAAUCAGUGGUCUUUGGAACACUGCCAUGGCACAUCCCAAUGAUCCUGAGUUCAUUGAGUUGGGAAUAUUUGAAUGCAUGGCUGCACUUAUAUGGAAGGGUUUAAAGAAUCGCAGGUGGCUUUCUCUCGAUCAGAACAUCUACAUUCCUUAUUAUGCUGCUCAUAUCAUUGGAUCCUACACCAUGAAUAUGGAAGAAUUUGCGGAAAGUGCUGUCCACGCUGGUGUAAUUCCUCCCCUGGUUGAGCUUUUGAGGGGGAGAUUGACAUGGGUUGAACAGAGAGUGGCAGUACGAGCUCUAGGACACUUGGCUACAUAUGCCAGCACUUUUCCUUCUGUAGCAAGUCAUGGUGAAAUACUUGAGCUUUCCAUUCAACUUGCAAUGAGUUCACUAGAAAUUGUUUACUCUCAUUUUUACCAGUAUGUUGAUAGAAGGCUAAGUUAUCAUUGUGAUUUGCUUACUCGUGGCAUGGGAGGUGUUGAAAUGGAGUCCAGGAAAGCGGAGGAAUGGGCUAGUCAGUUGCAAUGCUGGUCACUUCAGCUUAUUAAUUGUUUUGCUUUCAAGCCUGAGUUUAUUCCUACCAUUUGCAAGCCUGAAUUCUUAGUAAAACUGCCAGGCAUGUGGGGUGGACUUGUUAAUGAGAAUUCACCUGCUGGUAUUGGUUUAUUGAGAACAAUUUGUCAUCAUAAGCUUGGUAGGGGACCUGUUGCUAGCUGUCCUGGUAUAAUUGAGGCAUUGUGCAACAUUGCUAGCUCGUCAGAUGAUUGGCAGUAUAUGGCUAUAGAUUGUCUUCUUUGGUUGCUUCAAGAUCCAAAUACUUGCCAUAAGGUGAUCGAUAAGGCAGUUCCUGCCCUGAUAGACCUUGCAGAGAUCAAAGCUCUGGGUGAUCAAAAAAAGCUUGGUGAUUCCAUUGUUAAUGUUCUUCAGGAUUGUAUUCAAUCACAAGGGACAGGGCGUAACUCUGUCAGUAACCACACAAAAGAACUGAUUGGGGAAUUGUUAAACUCAAAACAAAGAAUGAAAUGGGAAAAGAAUAUGCCAAAGGAAGAUCUACAUAUCAAGCAGGCUGCAGCAUUAGUGGUCAAGCUUGAAGGAAAUUCCUUGUUCUCAUCAGGAAAUAUAUCUGGAGCUGCAUCAAAGUACUCUGAAGCAUUGUCAUUGUGUCCAAUGAGAUCCAAAAAAGAGAGAGUUGUUCUAUACAGUAAUCGAGCUCAGUGUCAUCUUCUGUUACAACAACCCUCGGCUGCUAUAAGUGAUGCUACACAUGCACUUUGUCUUCACAACCCUCUUAAUCGUCAUGCAAAAAGCCUUUGGAGAAGAGCUCAGGCUUAUGACAUGCUGGGACUAGCUAAAGAGAGCUUGUUAGAUGCCAUUCUGUUCAUUAAUGAAUGCUCUCAAUCAAAUGACCCUGAUCUAUGUUUGAGGCACAAUAAAGUUCCUGACUAUGCGGAGCGCCUAGUCAAGAAGCAGAUGCGUGCUGCCUGGUUAUUUAGAGAGGCAGCUAUCAAACAUGGGGGUGUCCACUAUGAAGGAGAUGCUGGUGAUGUUUAUGGCCAAGACAGUGAUGAUUCAGAAUGGGAAACAGCAAGCGAAAGUGAUAUGGGAAAUGAUGGAAGAGGUGAAAUGGGUGAUGAUGAUGAUGAUAGUGAAUGGAAGAAUGAGGAUGAGAGUAAAGAUAAAUGUGAUAAGGCAUAAUUAAAAGCUUGCGGAAAUGAAUCUUGAAUUUGGAAGAGGGAUGACAUAAAGAUGCCUUGAACAGAUAUCUUGAAACUCAUCAGUGCAUUUGAGUUUGAAAUGGACUACAGAAUCUAGCUUGGUUUCAUGAGAAGCAGGUUCAAUAGAAAUGUGUAAUUGGUCAUUAUGUUUAGCAGGUCAACAUUUUGAAGCCCUUUAGGGGUUGGUCUCUCUGCUGAUAUACAAUGGCAUGAAACCUUCCAUUCUCAACCUCAACUAGCAUACUCUAUUGCUUGUGUGAGUCACUUCCACAUUGUAAUAUGCUGCACCCUAAUUUCAAACAGCUUUUUAUAUUUCAACCUGGAUGUUCCACUCUUACCCUUGUUGAUGGAAUUACAGGUUUAUAUGUAUUUUUACAUGGCUAAAUGUUUAAUUUUACUCCCAUACUUAAUGGGAUGUUCAUUUUA